CACGCCGUAAACGAUGAUGACUGGACCGGUGCGGGUCUUACCCCGUAUCGGUCGAAGCGAAAGCGUUAAGUCAUCCGCCUGGGAAGUACGGUCGCAAGACUAAAACUCAAAUGAAUUGACGGGGGCUCACACAAGCGGUGGAGCAUGUUGCUUAAUUCGAGGCAACGCGAAGAACCUUACCUGGGUUUGACAUGCACGGAUUAACUUUAUGAAAGUAGAGCCACACUCGCAAGAGUGGAACGUGCACAGGUGC
RNAcentral lists this ribosomal RNA (253 nucleotides) under uncultured bacterium. RNAcentral's name for it is "partial 16S ribosomal RNA". It matches the Rfam family "Bacterial small subunit ribosomal RNA", at positions 796 to 1041 of the family's 1533-position model. The record is from RNAcentral.